CGCAGGUGGUUUCUUAAGUCUGAUGUGAAAGCCCACGGCUCAACCGUGGAGGGUCAUUGGAAACUGGGAGACUUGAGUGCAGAAGAGGAUAGUGGAAUUCCAAGUGUAGCGGUGAAAUGCGUAGAGAUUUGGAGGAACACCAGUGGCGAAGGCGACUGUCUGGUCUGUAACUGACACUGAGGCGCGAAAGCGUGGGGAGCAAACA
Molecule: ribosomal RNA, 205 nt
Filed under: uncultured bacterium
Lineage: Bacteria
Description: partial 16S ribosomal RNA
Rfam family: Bacterial small subunit ribosomal RNA
Source: RNAcentral